CCCUUAGAUGUCCUGGGCUGCACGCGCGCUACACUGAUGUGUCCAGUAAGCACCUAACCUCUUCCGAAAGGAACGGGUAACCUUUGCAAAGCACAUCGUGAUGGGGAUAGAUUAUUGCAAUUAUUAGUCUUGAACGAGGAAUUCCUAGUAAGCACAAGUCAUCAGCUUGUGUUGAUUAUGUCCCUGCCCUUUGUACACACCGCCCGUCGCUCCUACCGAUUGAAUGUUCCGGUGAGCUCUUCGGACUGCGCGGUCUGCAGUUUCUGCGUUCCGUGCGGAAAGUUGCGCAAACCUUAACAUUUAGAGGAAGGAGAAGUCGUAACA
This 324-nucleotide ribosomal RNA is filed under the name uncultured eukaryote. RNAcentral's name for it is "partial 18S ribosomal RNA". It matches the Rfam family "Eukaryotic small subunit ribosomal RNA", at positions 1470 to 1796 of the family's 1831-position model. The record is from RNAcentral.